RNAcentral lists this ribosomal RNA (478 nucleotides) under uncultured bacterium. RNAcentral describes it as "partial 16S ribosomal RNA". It matches the Rfam family "Bacterial small subunit ribosomal RNA", at positions 28 to 523 of the family's 1533-position model. The record is from RNAcentral.
GAUGAACGCUGACAGAAUGCUUAACACAUGCAAGUCUACCAAGAAUCACUUCGGUGAGGAAUGGUGGCGGACGGGUGAGUAACGCGUAAAUAAUCUGCCCUUUAGACUGGGAUAUCCUUUGGAAACGAAGGUUAAUACCGGAUAUGAUGAGAUGGACACAUGUUCAACUUAUGAAAGCUAAAUGCACUAGAGGCGGAGUUUGCGUCCCAUUAGCUAGUUGGUGAGGUAAAGGCUCACCAAGGCCACGAUGGGUAGCCGGCCUGAGAGGGUGAACGGCCACAAGGGAACUGAGACACGGUCCUUACUCCUACGGGAGGCAGCAGUGGGGAAUAUUGGACAAUGGACCAAAAGUCUGAUCCAGCAAUUCUGUGUGCACGAUGAAGGUCUUCGGAUUGUAAAGUGCUUUCAGUAGGGAAGAAAAAAAUGACGGUACCUACAGAAGAAGCGACGGCUAAAUAUGUGCCAGCAGCCGCCGUAA